Long non-coding RNA from Zeugodacus cucurbitae (melon fly), 1594 nucleotides. RefSeq lists it as uncharacterized. The transcript has 2 exons. The record is from RefSeq and is a predicted model, not a curated record. NCBI's taxonomy places the organism in Eukaryota, Metazoa, Arthropoda, Insecta, Diptera, Tephritidae.
CAAUGGCUUUACUCUGUUACUAUUUGUUUUAAUAUUUUAAAUUCUAAAAACAACAAAUGGGGAUUGCUGGGAUUAUUGCAUGAUGUGAUUGAAUACUAUUGAGGAACGCGAUUUCACUACACUCUUAAGGACGCGGGGAACUGUGGAACGGUAUCUCAAACUCACUACGUACCGCUGCAGCAGAAACAAUUGGAUUUUGACAAGGCUAAGAACAUACUCAUGUAGAAACCAAAAAGGUAAUCUGUUGACCGCUGUCCAGGGCAUUUUGAGUUUAUGGAGGGCACAUUUCUCUAACCUGCUAAAUGGCAGUGAAGUGACAUGAAAUAUCUCAAUGACGUCCUAUGACUCUACAGCUUAUCGUUUUAUCGUCUGAGGUAUUCGCCGUGCCCUUUCUUUCGAAAACUCCUAGUGUCGUCUCAUUAGAUGUUGGCAUCGUCCACGCAUCUGCACCAUAAAUCAGGACAGGAAUAAGGAGCGAACUUGAAGAGUUACUUUACUUUUCAAAUGCCUACUCAGUCCAAAGCAGCGCCUGAUUGCCAAAGUUAUACUGCGUUGGAUUUCAUGGCUGGUUGGUGUUGUUGAUGCUGACUACAAAGUAGACGAAAUUGUCUAUGAAAGUUGUGCUCGUAAACAGUGACGUGAGAGCCAAAACGCGAAAGCGCUGACUUUCUCAAUCAAUAUUGUCUCACUAGAUCACACUACGAUGGAUAUAGCAUGGCGUUUGGAGAGUCGUAACCAGAAUGUGGAGCCUAAGGAAUUUAUGGACCGAAAACGAAUACUAUUAGAUAAUGGUGAUUUAUAUAUAGUCUUAGCGUUACUUUUGCUCUUACCUUGAAUAUGACAGUCAACGUAAAACUCAUUGCUACCUUGGAAAACUAAUUCCUUGUUUUCAAUUGAAGUAAAUAAAGGCAGCUCCCAUAGAAUUUUUUCACUUUCCGAAUGAUACCAAAUGAAAAUGUUGUCAUUUAUUUCGCGGCAUAUCCAUUUUCGAACUUUAAUUCCCUUACGAUCUGAAAUGUCAAUAUCCAAUUUAGUAUCGUGUAUAAAUAACCAUGUAUAAAUUAAUGGUUUUUAAAUACAUUCGUCUUCACCGAGUUUUAUUAAAACAUACCACAGACUGACCGUUUUAUCUGGAAUAAAUUUGCUUAGAAUAAAAUAUGAGUAUGAAGCAGUACAUUAUCAAAAGUACAAUAUCAGUCAAUUUGUAAGAUAUAUUAAUGAAAUUAAGUGAACAUAUUCCCUCAUAAUAAGCGCCUCUCGAACUUCCGAUUGACUUUAUCAUACACAUAUGUAUAUAUCGGUCAGUAUAUAAGAUAUCGUAGUAAAAUUAAGUAAACGGAUUAUCAUAGACGUAGUGAUGUUCAGUCCGGUAAAUAAAUGAUAUAUAAUGAUUUUACAUAUUCUGGCCAAUAUAUUUAAUAUUUCAAUGAAUUAAUGGCGACAUUUUUUGGUCAAAAACAAAUAAAGUCGGUUCUGUCUUUGGUCUAGCUCUCAUAUACCUAAAUUUAAGUAUAUUGUUCUAUACUUUUACAAAUCUGAAGGAGAAAAAAUUUAAACAGCUUGCGUUAAAUAUUACGGUUGGAAGUUAUACAUA